GACGAACGCUGGCGGCGUGCUUAACACAUGCAAGUCGAACGGAAAGGCCCUGCUUGCCGGGUACUCGAGUGGCGAACGGGUGAGUAACACGUGGGUGAUCUGCCCUGCACUUCGGGAUAAGCUUGGGAAACUGGGUCUAAUACCGGAUAGGAACCAUCUUUAGUGUGGUGGUUGGAAAGUUUUUUCGGUGUAGGAUGAGCUCGCGGCCUAUCAGCCUGUUGGUGGGGUAAUGGCCUACCAAGGCGGCGACGGGUAGCCGGCCUGAGAGGGUGUACGGCCACAUUGGGACUGAGAUACGGCCCAGACUCCUACGGGAGGCAGCAGUGGGGAAUAUUGCACAAUGGGCGCAAGCCUGAUGCAGCGACGCCGCGUGGGGGAUGAAGGCCUUCGGGUUGUAAACUCCUUUCGCUAGGGACGAAGCUUUGUUGUGACGGUACCUAGAUAAGAAGCACCGGCUAACUACGUG
This 466-nucleotide ribosomal RNA is filed under the name uncultured bacterium. RNAcentral's name for it is "partial 16S ribosomal RNA". It matches the Rfam family "Bacterial small subunit ribosomal RNA", at positions 28 to 507 of the family's 1533-position model. The record is from RNAcentral.